CCGUAUUCAUAAACAGUUAGAGCAUUGAUCAUCAGUUGCUGAUAACCGGAUGUCACAAAACGUGAUUCAUAAACACUUUUUAGCGCUAAACAGUUGAUCAUCUCUUUAUUAAAUCCUCGGAAAGUUACGGAGCCGAGGACCCUUCUUUAUCUGUUUAUUAUCUGCUAUUUUACAAGAUGGCGGUCACGAAACAGCUGAUUUUGGCAAGAGUGACAAGAGCAAGAGCAAAUAGUACGUUUUGGUUAAAAUCCCAAAUGUGAAUGGAAAACAACUUUAAUAUGUGCAAUUACGUAUUACAUACCUGGAUAUAGUGCGAAAAUGGCGCGAAACCUAAAUAUCCCGCUUUUUAUAAGUUGUUUAUGUGAUUUUGUGUAUGGUGAUUUUCGUUUAACCAAAAUAUCGAAGAAGGCAACAGAAUUCUAUGAUCGCGUAGUCGGAAAAAUGCAUCAUAAACGGAGCGAGUUCCUCCCUCACAGCUAUUAGGCGUUUGGAGAAAUAGGUAAAAGAAGUGUGCACUCUUGUCAGUCUGGUAAAGUGAUGAAAAAUCUGAAAAAGUCACGGGUAUAUGCAGUCAUUGCAUAGGCAGUUUGCUCAAUAUUGGCUUUGAGCAUAACAAUUUGGCCUCCAGGUUUCUUGCUGAUUUCCUGCUGGGACUUGCAGUGUACGGAGUCAGUUACAUUUCUCUGACCAAUAUUCACAGCUGUUCACAG
Molecule: long non-coding RNA, 710 nt
Organism: Cydia fagiglandana
Lineage: Eukaryota; Metazoa; Arthropoda; Insecta; Lepidoptera; Tortricidae
Exons: 3
Source: RefSeq, a predicted model, not a curated record